UAAAGUCACGCCCCUCAAUCGUCUAUCUUAGAAAAUGGCGUUAUAAUUCCAGGUUAAUUCGUUGGAAAUCUGCUAUCGAAGCAUAAAUGAUUAAAUGUUCAAUGGUAACAAAAUCUAACAAAGAUUUUAUUGUAAAAUAGAUGCUGUGUAGUGAGAUGCUAUGAUAUAUUAUCCAAGGGCAUGACACGACAUAGCCAAAAAGUCAAAGUCAUGUUAAAACUGCAAAAGAACGAAAGCGUACCGUUUUUCAAUCUCGCUGCACGAAUUUGCUAAUAGAUUUUCUCCUUGUUAGGUAUUGAUGAGGUAAAUGAAGAUCUAAACUGAAUUGGGACAAAGUAGUUAUGAUGGUAAGCUACUGAUUUUGAAGUUGAAAACUUUUAAGGUCGCACUUCAACUUUUGAGGGGCAAUAGACUUUUCCAACUUUUAAUCCACAAAAAUGUGUAGACAAAAAAGGUUGAGUCACCUUGGAAUUUUUGAAUAUUGACAACAGAUGUGAGAUUUUUAAAAUGGAGAUUUGGUAUUUUCCAAAGAAAAGACUCAUGGAUUAGCACAUUUUCUUUAGUUUACUUACUCAUGGAUUCAGAAAUGAGUUAUGCAGCCAUGGAUUCAACUUCAAGAGAAAUCUUCCAGUAAGUCCAAGUGAAUUCCAAUUCAGUUCCUGCAUCAACAAACUAAAGGUUUUGCUGUGAUGUGAACCAAAUGUCAUUGGAAAGAUUCGGGAAAAUAUGUUAAAGG
Molecule: long non-coding RNA, 736 nt
Organism: Daphnia magna
Lineage: Eukaryota; Metazoa; Arthropoda; Branchiopoda; Diplostraca; Daphniidae
Exons: 3
Source: RefSeq, a predicted model, not a curated record